Molecule: ribosomal RNA, 264 nt
Filed under: uncultured archaeon
Lineage: Archaea
Description: partial 16S ribosomal RNA
Rfam family: Archaeal small subunit ribosomal RNA
Source: RNAcentral
AGACGUCUACAUUAGAUACCCGGGUAGUCCCAGCCAUAAACUAUGCGCGUUAGGUGUAUCGGUGACCACGAGUCACCGAGGUGCCGAAGGGAAGCCGUGAAACGUGCCGCCUGGGAAGUACGGUCGCAAGGCUGAAACUUAAAGGAAUUGGCGGGGAGCACCACAACGGGUGGAGCCUGCGGUUUAAUUGGACUCAACGCCGGGAAGCUCACCGGAUAAGACAGCGGAAUGAUUGCCGGGCUGAAGACUCUGCAUGACUAGCUG